CCUACGGGUGGCAGCAGUAGGGGAUAUUGCUCAAUGGGGGAAACCCUGAAGCAGCAACGCCGCGUGGAGGAUGAAGGUUUUAGGAUUGUAAAGUCCUUUUGGGAGAGAAGAUAAUGACGGGAUACCACGAAUAAGCACAGGCUAAAUCCGUGCCAGCAGCCGCGGUAAUACGGAGGGGGCAAGCGUUACUCGGAAUCACUGGGGGUAAAGAGUGCGCAGGCGGGAUGGUAAGUCAGAUGUGAAAUCCCGUAGCUUAACCGCAGAACUGCAUUGGAAACUAUGAGUCUAGAGUGUGGGAGAGGUAGGUGGAAUUCUUGGUGUAGGGGUAAAAUCCGUAGAUAUCAAGAGGAAUACUCAUGGCGAAGGCGACCUACUGGAACAUUACUGACGCUCAUGCACGAAAGCGUGGGGAGCAAACAGGAUUAGAUACCCUUGUAGUC
This 440-nucleotide ribosomal RNA is filed under the name uncultured bacterium. RNAcentral's name for it is "partial 16S ribosomal RNA". It matches the Rfam family "Bacterial small subunit ribosomal RNA", at positions 338 to 795 of the family's 1533-position model. The record is from RNAcentral.